AGGGAGAGAGAGCCUACCUUUUUCAUGGUUGUUUGAUCAAUUGGAUUGUAAAGUUCCCAAAUGUAAGAGGACUCCUGUGGUGUUUUACGUGGCUUUUGGCAUUCCAAUGAUCUGAAGUUGUGAUGUUGCAACUGCCUGUAAACACACAGUCCAGUUCAUAGUGAAUGAUGGCAGGCCCGUGUGGCAAAUGGCUUAUUUGUAUAAAGGUGUACUUUAGCUCUGAUUCACAAUAGUGCACCAGUCUGUCCUGGACAAUACAGAUGUUUUUAUUCAGUUUUAUUUACUGCAGUGUCUAUUAAUUGUUCAAAUGCAAAUACCUUGGUAUACGUAAUUACCAAACAUUCUAAGAAUUUAUGAAAAUGUGAAAGACCUUAUCUAAGUGGUCGUUUGUCAGAAUAAUUUUUUUAACGUUUUUGCUUUGUCAUUAUGGCAAAUUGUCGAUUUGACGAGGAAAACAUUAAAUUUAAUCCAUUUAGAAUAAGGCUGUAACGAAACAAAUUGUGGAAAAAGGGAAGUGGUCUGAAUACUUUCCGAAUGCACUGUUUAUGAACAGAUUGUAAUAAGAUGUCAUGUUGCAUUUCAAGUGAAACUCACAGCAAUGUUUCACACACAAGUUAUUUUAAAAGAGAUGGCUAACAACAGCAAGCGCGCUACUGUAACAAAAACACAGUUCCACUCACCAGAUGAUGAUGAUAAUUUGAAACAUAACUUCCUGUUGAAAGUUAUUCUUGAAAGGGAGAAUUUGGCAAAUUAGCAACAACCUCUUUGAUAAAACCAUCUGCAGCCACUGCUAACUACCCGACAACAAAAGCAUGCUAGCUGGACAGUGGGAAAACUACUGCUCGCUAUUGCGCAUUGACCUGUUUGUCUUCAGGAAGGCAGAAGUUUCCAUAAAUUUUUAUAAAAACGUUUACACUCAAUAAGUCAAUGUAAUUGGUUGAUUCAACUGUCACUCCAACAUUUUGCCCUAAUACAGUUGAAUGGCAGAUGCCUUUAUCUAGCUUCUGAUGGCCUAGCCAGUGGCUAGCUAGAUUUAUCUCCUAGCCAAAUCCUGAUUGGAUCUUUUUUCUCUUCAGUGUUAACCCCUUCCUUUCCAACAAACUGAAGAGAUUAAAUCAGAUCAUUGAAAAUAAUAAUAUAAUUAGCAUUAUUAUAAUCACUAUUUUUAUAACUACUUAGCCCUUCUUUGAAGGCGUUGUGUUUUGGGUUAGUAAUAAUUUGUUGAGUGCCUCUAUUUUCCCUUAGCAUGCAUUUUUUCACUAUUCGAGUGUCUGAAGAAUCCAUAUGUUCUGAAAUAUGAACACAGAAAUACUGGAUAUUUUGAACUUUAUUGUGGUGGUGAUUUAACCAAAUUACACUCAUGUUCUUGAAUUGGACUUGCAUUCUUUUGGUCUCUGUCUUGACUUUGUCUCAAACACAACACAAUGCUGUACCGUCUGCCCUUAUGCCUGCAAAGCGAGUAAGUGGACUGCACGCCCUGUCAUUCGUGCCUACAGUUUGCCCUGGGAUUCUCCUAGGUAAUGGCCAUAUACCCUAGUGAGACAUUGAAACAAGUAUUUUAAAUAAAAUGUAGGGUUACUUGCUUAACCCUGGUUUUAUCAGAAUAUGAGUGAUGUCUCACCGCAAUUCCCGGCUCGCAAGAGCAAGGAAGAGGCACGCUUGAGUGGCGCCUUAUAAGGAGGAGAGGGGCUCAACUCAUUCGCUCCUCAACCGGUCUGUCAACAACAGACGUUGUGUGAUUGGUUCUUCGAGCUGUCAGUGAUCUGCUAAACAAAUCCCGUAGUGAGACAUCUCAAUCAUAUUCUCAUAGAACCGGGUUUAUGCAAGUAACCCUACGUUUCUUUAGCUGAGCUUCAUAGCUACAGCUUUAGUGUCUAUAAUGUAGAAGAUACUUUUUUUUUAUUAAAAAAAAGUAUAACAGUUAGGAAAGAUACCGGUGACUACAGCUGCAUUUGUUUUCUUGUUGAGGGGAGGUAUGGUAGAACAUUUUGAGAGUUGAGUCCUUACAUAGACAUAACAAGAGCAUGUAUAUAGGCUGGCUGGGUAGUUUCGUAACAGUAGUCACUUAUUUUUACAGAUUUAUCACAAGUCACUUUUGCACCUUGAACAUCUGUUUCAUAUCUGCUAUUACUGUCAAUAUCGCUCCAUAUUUCCUUUAGAGAGACCUUAUCAUGUUUUUGGAGGGUUUUGUUAGCCAAGUGUAGCCUCACAGCCUACAUGAGGCCUAACUACUGUACCUCACAGUAACAUAAUAUUGUCGCUAUAACUGCCAUACCUGCUUGGUUUGUGUGUGUGUGUAGAGCUACGGAAGGCAGAGGAGAGCAAUAGCGAGGUGACUCAGGAUGGGUCAUGCUCGGACACGGAGCUGGUAGACGAAACCCAUAACAGUGAUGGGGAGGAGAACGGCACACCAGACGAGUGUGAAGAUGAUGACAUGGAGUUAAAAGCUCCCUCCACCGGAGUCAGCACCGAAGGAAAGGGAGGCCACAGCCACAUCCUGGGAGUGGUAUGUGGUGAUUGAUGAGGUGCUGGGGGGCUGCCACUCCAACACACCGGUUAUCAUCUCCUCAUCCUCUCUAGGUGCAGCUGUGGGCUGCUCUCCCUUCCAGAAGGGUCCAGAUGUGGAAGUUGGAGAAGGAAAACAAGCACCUUUCAGAAAUGGACUCCAUCCUGCAAUAAAAGGCA
Long non-coding RNA from Oncorhynchus gorbuscha (pink salmon), 2685 nucleotides. RefSeq lists it as uncharacterized. The record is from RefSeq and is a predicted model, not a curated record. The transcript is spliced from 3 exons. NCBI's taxonomy places the organism in Eukaryota, Metazoa, Chordata, Actinopteri, Salmoniformes, Salmonidae.